RNAcentral lists this ribosomal RNA (468 nucleotides) under uncultured bacterium. RNAcentral describes it as "partial 16S ribosomal RNA". It matches the Rfam family "Bacterial small subunit ribosomal RNA", at positions 28 to 507 of the family's 1533-position model. The record is from RNAcentral.
GACGAACGCUGGCGGCGUGCUUAACACAUGCAAGUCGAACGGAGAGGCCCUGCUUUUGUGGGGUGCUCGAGUGGCGAACGGGUGAGUAACACGUGAGUAACCUGCCCUUGACUUUGGGAUAACUUCAGGAAACUGGGGCUAAUACCGGAUAGGAGCUCCUGCUGCAUGGUGGGGGUUGGAAAGUUUCGGCGGUUGGGGAUGGACUCGCGGCUUAUCAGCUUGUUGGUGGGGUAGUGGCUUACCAAGGCUUUGACGGGUAGCCGGCCUGAGAGGGUGACCGGCCACAUUGGGACUGAGAUACGGCCCAGACUCCUACGGGAGGCAGCAGUGGAGAAUAUUGCACAAUGGGCGGAAGCCUGAUGCAGCAACGCCGCGUGCGGGAUGACGGCCUUCGGGUUGUAAACCGCUUUCGCCUGUGACGAAGCGUGAGUGACGGUAAUGGGUAAAGAAGCACCGGCUAACUACGUG